GACCACAGCCAUACCACCCUGAAUGUGCCCAAUCUCUUCUGAUCUCAGAAGCUAAGCAGGGUUGGGCCUGGUUAAUACGUGGACA
Molecule: ribosomal RNA, 85 nt
Filed under: Prolemur simus (greater bamboo lemur)
Lineage: Eukaryota; Metazoa; Chordata; Mammalia; Primates; Lemuridae
Source: RNAcentral